This 345-nucleotide unclassified non-coding RNA is filed under the name soil metagenome. RNAcentral describes it as "partial contains 5.8S ribosomal RNA, internal transcribed spacer 2, and large subunit ribosomal RNA". The stretch from base 1 to 120 matches the Rfam family "5.8S ribosomal RNA", at positions 35 to 154 of the family's 154-position model. The record is from RNAcentral.
GAUGAAGAACGCAGCGAAAUGCGAUAAGUAAUGUGAAUUGCAGAAUUCCGUGAGUCAUCGAAUCUUUGAACGCACAUUGCGCCCUCUGGUAUUCCGGGGGGCAUGCCUGUCCGAGCGUCAUUUGCAACCCUCAAGCCCGGCUUGUGUGAUGGGUGCCGUCCCCUACGGGACGCGCCCCGAAGGCAAUGGCGGCGUCGCGGUUAUCCGAUCAGCCAAAGUGUAUGGGGCUUUGUCACUCACUUUACGGCCCGGACCGGCGCCAGUCCGAAUCAAUCUUUUUUCUAAAGUUGACCUCGGAUCAGGUAGGGAUACCCGCUGAACUUAAGCAUAUCAAUAAGCGGAGGA